UUCUGCUGUGGCCUUAGGAAGCUUACAAUCACGGCAGAAGGUGACAGAGAGCCAGCAUGUCACAUAACUAGAGCAGGAGCAAGAGAGAGAGAAGGGGAAGGUCCCAAACUAGUUGAGUGAGAAGUCACUUAUCACCAAAGGGAUGGUACUAAACCAUUCAUGAGGCAUCUGCCACCAUGAUCUGAUCACUUUCCACCAGGCCUCACUUCUAACAUAGGGAAAACAUUGGAUUCUCACAUUUAGGAGUCCAUUUGAGGUCCUUGAAGGAGUGUGCAAAGAGGAGGAUAAUCUCUCCAGGCCUCUAAAAUGGACUAGAGGGGAGGACAGGGCUGUGGUGGCAUGUAGCCCUGUUAAACUUUGUAGCACUGAUCAUGGACUUGUGUACUCACCUCCAAUCUCAUAUGUCUCCCUUGCCAUUCAGUAUAAAUUGAAAAUAGGAAGCAUUUUCCCAUUCAAAUUGGGGCACUUCCUCCAUGGAUUAUUUGGAAAAUAUUACCGUCUAUUAUAGUGCAUCUCAGUGUCCCCUGGAAAGAAAAAUACCUGCUUCUUGCCCACCAGCAAGGCUGAACUUCUGGAACCCUGAAGGGGAAAGAGCCACAUUCAGAACAUGUACUCGAGCAAUUUAGGGAGGAAAUGCUGCUCCCUAACUCAUCUAGUAGGUGAUUAUGUCCUCGGGUACUUAGAAUCCUUGUUUAACAUGUAAUCUUCAUAGUUUGGGAUGAUCUCAGUUAUAAUUCACACACAGUGGCAUGACUGGAAGCUGGUGUGUGUGGGUUGUGUGUUUGUGUGUAUUUACACAUUCAUGUGUUUGUAGUGCAUGUAUGUGUGUCCUUUGAAGAGGCUGGGGAUGAGGGAUAAUAAAUUUGUCUGGUUCCCCUCUGAUCUCUGGGAAUCUGACUACUGCAGGUGGAACUGCAGGCUAAGCUGGGGAGAUUGAAGGGAAGAGACAAACCAGACAAUUUUUUUUUGUUUGCAUUAAAAAUUGAGCAAAAAGCAGGUUACCUUGUUUGCCUGAGGAAUAGAGGUGGUGAUGGGGACAGGUGAGAGAAGAGGAUAGUUUUUAAUAUCUUUUUGUAGGACCAGUUAAAUCACCUGAAACUAUUCUAACUUUUCCCAUGAGACGAAUACCAGUUUAUUACCAGAUAAUACACACAAUGAUAGCUUCUGCUUUCAUUUCCUGUAACAAAUAAUGCGUCUCUUUUUUCUCCAAGUUCCAUAUGAUAAAACAAAGAACCUGCUAUGUUGCAAAAUAGUGUAACGAGGGACAAGUGAAGAACAUCAAAAGGGCCCAUGAGCUGGUCUGGACCUAGGAACCGAGGGCUUAAGGACCAAAUCCUACUGACAGUGGAUUCACUCAAACUUAUAAUGAACAGAUCAUUUUUGUAAUAACAAAUACAAUGUACACCUUGGCAGAAGAUAGAAAGCUUUCAUUUAUGGUUCAGAAAACUUGGUGAACAAGGAAUAAAGUCCCACCCAAUUGUCAAGGCUGCUUGGGUAGUUCUUACUUCCCUUCUGCUGGAAAUUUUUUCCUGGUGAGUUCCACUCCCAGCUUCCCAAGGAGCCUGAGGAGCACAAGGCUUUUUGCAAGUAUCGUCCAUGGUAAUGGGAAUAAGAGUGAAGCUCCAGUCCCUACUGGGUCAGACACAGAGCAGGGAGAGAGAGGUGACUGGGUGACUGGGUCCUGGGGCUGCCAUGCUUCCUGCAGGGGACUAGCUCAGUGCCAGGCACUCUGCUCCACCUGGUGGUUUGUGGCUGGGAAUAAGCCUACGUGAUUUUUGUCAAAGAGAGUUAUCUAGAAUCUAAGAAUGUGCUGUUGGAAGGAAACUUACCAUAAAGUCCUGCCCCCCUCAUGCACUUAUAACACCUUACCAUAAAGUCCUGCCCCUGUCUGCACUUAUAAUACCUCUAUCAAGUGGCUAUGGCUGUGCUUAUGCCCCACCAGUGACAGGGGCCUCAGUGUGUCCUAAGGCUUCCAUUCCAUUUUUGUAUGACUCUGACCAUAGAAAGCUCUUCUCUAAUAUUAUGAGUUAAAACUUGCCUUUCUCUAACUUCUUCAUGUUUCCCAGUUGAAAUCACUGGCUACAAAUGUGACUCCUCACACACUCAGUGACUGUUCAAGUAGGAUUCAGAGCAAAGCAGAGUUUCAGAGCACCUUGCUGAGCAGGCAAGAUAUUUCACAGCCAAAGAAACCAGGAUUCGAAGAAGUAAAAUAGUUUGCCCAAAGUCAUAUCCUGAGAAAGUGGUACAGAACCCCAGAUUUAGAGAAGGUGUAUCAGCCAAAGUCUCGUAGCUUCCUCCACCACUUGUGUGUCCGCUGCCUGUACUAGAUGCAGCUGAAUCCACAUUCAUUGUCCUUCAAAUGCCUCAUCAGAUCCUUUACAGUCCCCAGAGAACUUGGAGGGUACAAUAAAACCUCUUGGGAAAAUGCCUUCCACUGAAGAAUUUGCAAAGCUAGUUCUGAAAACCGGGUUUGAGACUCUUAAGGUCUCAUUUAUAUUGAAGGCAUAAAAACUUAGGAUUUGGAGAUCAUGGGAAGAAAAGUUCUUUGGAAAGAGCUAUGCUGUGAGUUCCCUCCACACCCCAUGAGUACCUACCCUUCACCUCAAUCCUGGUGAGAGGGGCAUCAAUGAGACCAUUCAGAGAGCUCAAUGUGUGUCCCCUGCAGGGGGAUGCACUGCACAGGUGCCUGACUCACAUCUGAGAAACUCGAGUGGGAGAUGCUGCUGAAACAGCCUAUGGCCGCAGAGUCAGGACCACCAGUGGGGAAACUACAUCCCCAUUGAGGAGUCAAGUGAACCUGCCUUUCAUCUGCUGGACAUGGGACCUUAAAAGAAUUGUUCAAGAGGGUCACUUGAAGGAGCAAUAGAACCCUAGUAGGAAGAGUCUGUAUGGAAAUGGACCAGCCAGGAAACAGGGGCCAAAGAGAGAGUCAUCAAUGGUCACCCUGAGAGUGCGUUGUGAAUGACAAAGUAGGAUACAGAUCCCCAGCAUGGGUGAAAAAGGCUAUCUAUCCAGAGAAGCUGUGAAAAUGCCCUGGGGGAGAAAUAAUUCACCUGGACACUAUCAAGCCCAGAGAAACAACGAUGACCACAUAGAAGGCCUUUGUGGAAGGCCUUUCCCAUCUCUUUCAUCUCCAUCCUCUUUACUGCUUCUCCCUGCCUGUCCUCAUGGAGUUGGGGGAAGGAAGUCCAAUUUUUGGCUCUUCUGUCACCUUUGUAGGUGUUUACAGGGAAUUUUGUCCUCGUCUUUGGGUAUCACUCUCCACAUCUGCUGCUGAUGGGACUGGUCCUGCUUGGCAGGGACUGGGGUGGGCAGGUGCUGCUGACACCUGUGGUUCCUGCCACGGCCUCUGUAAUGAGGUCCAUGCACUCUGACCUUCCUUAUUUUAGCUUAGGCAUCUUCUGGCCCACGACCCCUCUCAGUAAUUCAUUUCUCUAUAGAGGCCCAAGAGAACUUCAGAAUCUCCCAGCAUCAUGCACAGGCUGAGGAGAAAUUGUUGCACUUCUAGAGGCCCUUGUUCUUCUGAAACAUACCAUGCCCCAAUUUCUGCUCAACAGGGCCCCCUGGGAGGAGGCCCUGCCCUCCCUUGUCAAAGGUAAGUGGGACCUAAUCCCCUUGCCUUUGUUUUUCCUGUCAACCUAUCUGGAGAUCCUAUCACCUGGCCUGCUCUGUUCCCUUCUGCCCCACAGCCCCCUCUGUUGAGCCCUAGGAAAUGGUGGCAUCAAGCCCCUUCUAAAUCAUAAUCAGAGUCUCAACUUUAGCAUUUCUUCAAUGCUUACUUAGAUCCAGAAUGUUAUACAUAGAUGGUGGAAAAUUACUCACAUAUCUUACCUGGCAUCUUUUUAGUUUGUGACUUGGAAGAACUCUAUCCUCUGAAUCUACAAUCUUUAGUUUGGAACACACAAAUCUAUUUUUUUUCUGUCAAUAAAAUUUAGUUCUUGCCCAUUUUGGCAGUCAAAAGGUGAACACUGAGUUCUGCAUUCUCAGUAGGGUCUAACCUCUGCCUGAAGUAAUGGCUGCCUACAUCCCAAAUGUUGGACGUUUGUGGACAACAAGAAUUACAGAAAUGGAAAAGAUACUUUGGAAACUUCCAGAGAAGAAGGCACUUGA
Long non-coding RNA from Piliocolobus tephrosceles (Ugandan red Colobus), 4110 nucleotides. RefSeq lists it as uncharacterized. NCBI's taxonomy places the organism in Eukaryota, Metazoa, Chordata, Mammalia, Primates, Cercopithecidae. The record is from RefSeq and is a predicted model, not a curated record. The transcript has 3 exons.